Molecule: transfer RNA, 85 nt
Filed under: Felis catus (domestic cat)
Lineage: Eukaryota; Metazoa; Chordata; Mammalia; Carnivora; Felidae
Rfam family: tRNA
About the family: Transfer RNA (tRNA) molecules are approximately 80 nucleotides in length.
Source: Rfam by way of RNAcentral
GCCUGGGUGGCUUAGUUGGUUAAGUGACUGACUUCAGCUCAGGUCAUGAUCUCACGGUUCAUGAGUUCAAGCCCCACCUUGGGCU